GAUGAACGCUGACGGCGUGCCUAAUACAUGCAAGUCGAGCGAACGGACGAGAAGCUUGCUUCUCUGAUGUUAGCGGCUGACGGGCGAGUAACACGUGGAUAACCUACCUAUAAGACUGGGAUAACUUCGGGAAACCGGAGAUAAUACUGGAGAAUAUGUUGAACCGCAUGGUUCAAAAGUGAAAGACGGUUUUGCUGUCACUUAUAGAUGGAUCCGCGCUGCAUUAGCUAGUUGGUAAGGUAACGGCUUACCAAGGCAACGAUGCAUAGCCGACCUGAGAGGAUGAUCGGCCACACUGGAACUGAGACACGGUCCAGACUCCUACGGGAGGCAGCAGUGGGGAAUCUUCCGCAAUGGGCGAAAGCCUGACGGAGCAACGCCGCGUGAGUGAUGAAGGUCUUCGGAUCGUAAAACUCUGUUAUUAGGGAAGAACAUAUGUGUAAGUAACUGUGCACGUCUUGACGGUACCUAAUCAGAAAGCCACGGCUAACUACGUG
RNAcentral lists this ribosomal RNA (497 nucleotides) under uncultured bacterium. RNAcentral describes it as "partial 16S ribosomal RNA". It matches the Rfam family "Bacterial small subunit ribosomal RNA", at positions 28 to 507 of the family's 1533-position model. The record is from RNAcentral.